GGGCAAUGAAGAAUCUCAGAGACACUGGGAAAAGAGCCCACCAAAACUGAAGACUAACGCUGAGGUCCAGUACCAUGGAAUUAUCCAGUUUGAGAUAUUUAUUCAACACCGACAUCAUCUUGGAGUAUGUGGUUUAUUUAUCUAUUUUGAGAGAGACGAGACACCAUGAGUGGGAAAGUAACAGAGAGAGGGG
Molecule: long non-coding RNA, 193 nt
Organism: Suricata suricatta (meerkat)
Lineage: Eukaryota; Metazoa; Chordata; Mammalia; Carnivora; Herpestidae
Exons: 3
Source: RefSeq, a predicted model, not a curated record